UGUUUAUUUAAGAAGUCGGGCCUAUGC
This 27-nucleotide non-coding RNA is filed under the name Homo sapiens (human). The record is from RNAcentral. Lineage: Eukaryota; Metazoa; Chordata; Mammalia; Primates; Hominidae.